CGCCAAACCAUUUUUUUUUUAAAUUAUAAUAAAGUAAAAGAAACACUGCAAAGUUAAAAAUAAAAUGACGAAGAAGAUGAUGGCAGUGUUUCUAUUGUGUAUUCUGGUGCUGGCUGCACUUGAAAUCUCCGCUGUUGCCGCCGGCGAGGAGGCUAACAAUAUCCCGAGGAAAAAGUCACUUUUUAGCCGCAUCUUCGAUAAAUUGGGCGUCGAUAUGCCCAAAAAUAAUUGAUAAUUGAGGAUGAACAAGAGAAGAGUUCUCAAGAAUGAUGAUGGGAUUGAUGUAAAUGGUGAUGUAUGAUUUUUUUAAUGAUUUUUUUUCCUUUAUGAGAGGAAUUUCUGAAUGACCCUCCUUUGCCUUCUUUCAUUUUUAUUUUGUGAUCUCUUUGUUUAAUUAGUGAUAAUAGAUAAAGAAAAAAAAGUUGGGUUUUUGCCUUUUUGGUAAUGUUUGGGUCUGUUUUUUUCUCCCAUGAUUGUUCUUAGACCAACAAAAUUCAUUUGAUUUA
Long non-coding RNA from Cucumis sativus (cucumber), 506 nucleotides. RefSeq lists it as uncharacterized. Lineage: Eukaryota; Viridiplantae; Streptophyta; Magnoliopsida; Cucurbitales; Cucurbitaceae. The record is from RefSeq and is a predicted model, not a curated record. The transcript has 2 exons.